ACGCACGCUGGCGGCGUGCCUAAUCCCUGCCCGUUGAGCGAUGAAGAUUGGUGCUUGCACCAAUUUGAAGAGCAGCGAACGGGUGAGUAACGCGUGGGGAAUCUGCCUUUGAGCGGGGGACAACAUUUGGAAACGAAUGCUAAUACCGCAUAACAACUUUAAACAUAAGUUUUAAGUUUGAAAGAUGCAAUUGCAUCACUCAAAGAUGAUCCCGCGUUGUAUUAGCUAGUUGGUGAGGUAAAGGCUCACCAAGGCGAUGAUACAUAGCCGACCUGAGAGGGUGAUCGGCCACAUUGGGACUGAGACACGGCCCAAACUCCCACGGGAGGCAGCAGUAGGGAAUCUUCGGCAAUGGACGAAAGUCUGACCGAGCAACGCCGCGUGAGUGAAGAAGGUUUCCGGAUCGUAAAACUCUGUUGGUAGAGAAGAACGUUGGUGAGAGUGGAAAGCUCAUCAAGUGACGGUAACUACCCAGAAAGGGACGGCUAACUACGUG
This 496-nucleotide ribosomal RNA is filed under the name uncultured bacterium. RNAcentral's name for it is "partial 16S ribosomal RNA". It matches the Rfam family "Bacterial small subunit ribosomal RNA", at positions 29 to 507 of the family's 1533-position model. The record is from RNAcentral.